This 253-nucleotide ribosomal RNA is filed under the name uncultured bacterium. RNAcentral's name for it is "partial 16S ribosomal RNA". It matches the Rfam family "Bacterial small subunit ribosomal RNA", at positions 524 to 776 of the family's 1533-position model. The record is from RNAcentral.
GACAGAGGGUGCAAACGUUGUUCGGAAUUACUGGGCGUAAAGCGAGUGUAGGCGGUUUGAUAAGUCGGAUGUGAAAGCCCCGGGCUCAACCCGGGAAGUGCACUCGAUACUGUCAAGCUAGAGUAUCGGAGAGGUUGGUGGAAUUCUCGGUGUAGAGGUGAAAUUCGUAGAUAUUCGGAAGAACACCAGUGGCGAAGGCGGCUCACUGGCCCGGUACUGACGCUGAGGUGCGAAAGCGUGGGGAGCAAACAGG